RNAcentral lists this ribosomal RNA (250 nucleotides) under uncultured bacterium. Its description in RNAcentral is "partial 16S ribosomal RNA". It matches the Rfam family "Bacterial small subunit ribosomal RNA", at positions 779 to 1028 of the family's 1533-position model. The record is from RNAcentral.
UAGAUACCCUGGUAGUCCAUGCCCUAAACGAUGUCAAUUAGCUGUUGGGGCACUAGAUGCCUUAGUAGCGAAGCUAACGCGUGAAAUUGACCGCCUGGGGAGUACGGUCGCAAGAUUAAAACUCAAAGGAAUUGACGGGGACCCGCACAAGCGGUGGAUGAUGUGGAUUAAUUCGAUGCAACGCGAAGAACCUUACCUGGUCUUGACAUGUACGGAAGAGAGUAGAGACACUCUUGUGCCUUUGGGAGCC